AACGAACGCUGGCGGCGCGUCUUAAGCAUGCAAGUCGAACGGCAAGAGAGGAGCUUGCUUCUCUCCUAGAGUGGCGGACUGGUGAGGAACACGUGGGUAAUCUACCCUUAAGAUGGGGAUAGCUGCUAGAAAUAGCAGAUAAUACCGAAUACACUCAAUAUUUCAUAAGAGGUAUUGAGGAAAGGAAGCUACGGCUUCGCUUGAGGAUGAGCUUGCGUCCCAUUAGCUUGUUGGUGAGGUAACGGCCCACCAAGGCGACGAUGGGUAUCCGGCCUGAGAGGGUGAUCGGACACAUUGGGACUGAGAUACGGCCCACCACUCCUACGGGAGGCAGCAGCUAAGAAUAUUCCGCAAUGGACGGAAGUCUGACGGAGCGACGCCGCGUGGAUGAAGAAGGCUGAAAAGUUGUAAAAUCCUUUUGUUGAUGAAGAAUAAGGAGAAGAGGGAAUGCUUCUCUGAUGACGGUAAUCGACGAAUAAGCCCCGGCUAAUUACGUGCCAGCAGCCGCGGUAACACGUAAGGGGCGAGCGUUGUUCGGAAUUAUUGGGCGUAAAGGGCAUGUAGGCGGUUAUGUAAGCCUGAUGUGAAAUCCUGGGGCUUAACCCCAGAAUAGCAUUGGGUACUGUGUAACUUGAAUUACGGAAGGGAAACUGGAAUUCCAAGUGUAGGGGUGGAAUCUGUAGAUAUUUGGAAGAACACCGGUGGCGAAGGCGGGUUUCUGGCCGAUAAUUGACGCUGAGAUGCGAAAGUGUGGGGAUCGAACAGGAUUAGAUACCCUGGUAGUCCACACUGUAAACGAUGUACACUAGGUGUUGGGGCAAGAGCUUCAGUGCCAAAGCAAACGCGAUAAGUGUACCGCCUGGGGAGUAUGCCCGCAAGGGUGAAACUCAAAGGAAUUGGCGGGGGCCCGCACAAGCGGUGGAGCAUGUGGUUUAAUUCGAUGGUACGCGAGAACCUUACCUGGGUUUGACAUCUAGUAAAAGGUCUAGAGA
This 992-nucleotide ribosomal RNA is filed under the name Treponema sp. oral taxon 237. RNAcentral describes it as "bacterial SSU rRNA". It matches the Rfam family "Bacterial small subunit ribosomal RNA", at positions 28 to 1006 of the family's 1533-position model. Lineage: Bacteria; Pseudomonadati; Spirochaetota; Spirochaetia; Treponematales; Treponemataceae. The record is from RNAcentral.